GGUCAAGUUAUUAAGGGUGCAGGGCGGAUGCCUUGGCACCGGGAGCCGAUGAAGGACGUGAUAAGCUGCGAUAAGCUAUGGGGAGUUGCACGUAAACUUUGAUCCAUAGAUUUCCGAAUGAGGAAACUCACCAUGAGUAAUGUCAUGGUAUCUUCGAGUGAAUACAUAGCUCGUUGAGGGGAACUCGGGGAACUGAAACAUCUAAGUACCCGAAGGAAGAGAAAGAAAUUCGAUUCCGCUAGUAGCGGCGAGCGAACGCGGAACAGCCCAAACCUAAGAAGUUCGCUUCUUAGGGGUUGCGGACAUAUCAUCAGGAAGAGGUUAUUACAGACGAAGAGUUUUGGAAAGCUCCGCCACAGAAGGUAACAGCCCUGUAGUCGAAGUGAGAAGACUUCCGAUAUGAUCCAGAGUACCACGGGACACGUGAAACCCCGUGGGAAGCAGGAGGGACCACCCUCCAAGGCUAAAUACUACCCGGUGACCGAUAGCGCAUAGUACCGUGAGGGAAAGGUGAAAAGAACCCCGGGAGGGGAGUGAAAUAGAACCUGAAACCCUGUACUUACAAACUGUGGAAGCACAUUUCUUGUGUGACCGCGUACUUUUUGUAGAACGGGCCAACGAGUUACGUUAUGCAGCAAGGUUAAGUACUUCAAGUAUGCAGCCGCAGCGAAAGCGAGUUUUAACUGAGCGUUUAGUUGCAUGACGUAGACCCGAAACCGGGUGACCUAUCCAUGAGCAGGUUGAAGCGAAAGUAAAAUUUCGUGGAGGACCGAACCCACGAGCGUUGAAAAGCUCGGGGAUGACUUGUGGAUAGCGGUGAAAUUCCAAUCGAACCCGGAGAUAGCUGGUUCUCCCCGAAAUAGCUUUAGGGCUAGCCUCAGAUUCAGAGAUACGGAGGUAGAGCACUGAAUGUCCUAGGGGGUAUUGCACCUACCGAAGACUAUCAAACUCCGAAUGCCGUCAUCUUUUAUCUGGGAGUCAGACCGUGGGUGAUAAGAUUCACGGUCGAGAGGGCAACAGCCCAGACCGUCGGCUAAGGUCCCCAAAUGUAGGUUAAGUGGUAAAGGAUGUGGGAUUGCACAGACAACCAGGAUGUUGGCUUAGAAGCAGCCACUCAUUCAAAGAGUGCGUAAUAGCUCACUGGUCGAGUGAUCCUGCGCCGAAGAUUUCCGGGGCUAAAACCUACUACCGAAGCCACGGCAUCAUUUAUGAUGGGUAGGGGAGCUUUCUUUACUGGGCAGAAGCAUGACCGUAAGGACAUGUGGACUGUAAAGAAGUGAGAAUGUUGGCAUGAGUAGCGAGAUGUGGGUGAGAAUCCCACAGGCCGUAAACCCAAGGUUUCCAGGGGAAGGUUCGUCCUCCCUGGGUUAGUCGGGACCUAAGCCGAGGCCGAAAGGCGUAGGUGAUGGACAACAGGUUGAAAUUCCUGUACCGCCAAUAAGCGUUUGAGAAAUGGGAUGACACAGUAGGACAGGAUGAGCGUGCUGUUGGUUAUGCACGUCCAAGCACUGAGGCAGUAUCCGGAGGCAAAUCCACGGAUAUAAUGCUGGGGUGUGACGGGGAGCGAAAUUUAGUAGCGAAGCAUCUGCAUUCACACUGUCGAGAAAAGUCUCUAUCGAGUUUAAAGGCGCCCGUACCGCAAACCGACACAGGUGGGUGAGGAGAGUAUCCUAAGGCCAGCGAGAGAACUGUUGUUAAGGAACUCGGCAAAAUGACCCCGUAACUUAGGGAUAAGGGGUGCCAUCGAAAGAUGGCCGCAGAGAAUAGGCCCAAGCGACUGUUUACCAAAAACAUAGGUUUCUGCUAAGUCGCAAGACGAUGUAUAGGAGCUGACGCCUGCCCGGUGCUGGAAGGUUAAGGGGAUCUGUUAGAGCAAUCGAAGCAGUGAACUUAAGCCCCAGUAAACGGCGGCCGUAACUAUAACGGUCCUAAGGUAGCGAAAUUCCUUGUCGGGUAAGUUCCGACCCGCACGAAAGGCGUAACGAUUUGGGCACUGUCUCAACAACAGACUCGGUGAAAUUGUAAUUCCGGUGAAGAUGCCGGAUACCUGCGACAGGACGGAAAGACCCCAUGGAGCUUUACUGUAGCUUGGCAUUGGGUCUUGGUACUACAUGUACAGCAUAGGUGGGAGGCUUUGAUUCCAGGACGCCAGUUUUGGAUGAGCCACCGUUGGGAUACCACCCCUGUAGUACUGGGACUCUAACCAGAGGCCUUGAAUCAGGUCUUGGGACACUGUCAGGCGGGCAGUUUGACUGGGGCGGUCGCCUCCCAAAAGGUAACGGAGGCGCUCAAAGGUUCUCUCAGCACGGUCGGAAAUCGUGCAUAGAGUGUAAAGGCAUAAGAGAGCUUGAUUGCAAGACAUACAGGUCGAGCAAGGACGAAAGUCGGACUUAGUGAUCCGGUGGUUCUGAGUGGAAGGGCCAUCGCUCAACGGAUAAAAGCUACCCUGGGGAUAACAGGCUUAUCUCCCCCAAGAGUCCACAUCGACGGGGAGGUUUGGCACCUCGAUGUCGGCUCAUCACAUCCUGGGGCUGUAGUAGGUCCCAAGGGUUGGGCUGUUCGCCCAUUAAAGUGGUACGCGAGCUGGGUUCAGAACGUCGUGAGACAGUUCGGUCCCUAUCCGUCGCAGGCGUAGGAAAUUUGAGAGGAUCUGCCCUUAGUACGAGAGGACCGGGGUGGACGUACCGCUGGUGUACCAGUUGUCUCGCCAGAGGCAUGGCUGGGUAGCUAUGUACGGAACGGAUAAGCGCUGAAAGCAUCUAAGCGCGAAGCCAGCCUUAAGAUAAGAUUUCCCAUUCUUCGGAAGUAAGACCCCAUGAAGACUACGUGGUUGAUAGGUCGGAGGUGGAAGUGCAGUAAUGUAUGCAGCUUACCGAUACUAAUAGGUCGAGGACUUGACCAA
Molecule: ribosomal RNA, 2902 nt
Filed under: Peptacetobacter hiranonis
Lineage: Bacteria; Bacillati; Bacillota; Clostridia; Peptostreptococcales; Peptostreptococcaceae
Description: 23S ribosomal RNA
Rfam family: Bacterial large subunit ribosomal RNA
Source: RNAcentral